CCUACGGGAGGCAGCAGUGAGGAAUAUUGGUCAAUGGACGAGAGUCUGAACCAGCCAAGUAGCGUGAAGGAUGACUGCCCUAUGGGUUGUAAACUUCUUUUAUAUGGGAAUAAAACGUUCCACGUGUGGGAUUUUGUAUGUACCAUAUGAAUAAGGAUCGGCUAACUCCGUGCCAGCAGCCGCGGUAAUACGGAGGAUCCGAGCGUUAUCCGGAUUUAUUGGGUUUAAAGGGAGCGUAGGUGGAUUGUUAAGUCAGUUGUGAAAGUUUGCGGCUCAACCGUAAAAGUGCAGUUGAAACUGGCAGUCUUGAGUACAGUAGAGGUGGGCGGAAUGCGAGGUGUAGCGGUGAAAUGCUUAGAUAUCACGAAGAACUCCGAUUGCGAAGGCAGUUCACUGGACUGCAACUGACACUGAGGCUCGAAAGUGUGGGUAUCAAACAGGAUUAGAUACCCUUGUAGUC
This 460-nucleotide ribosomal RNA is filed under the name uncultured bacterium. RNAcentral describes it as "partial 16S ribosomal RNA". It matches the Rfam family "Bacterial small subunit ribosomal RNA", at positions 338 to 795 of the family's 1533-position model. The record is from RNAcentral.